RNAcentral lists this ribosomal RNA (495 nucleotides) under uncultured bacterium. RNAcentral describes it as "partial 16S ribosomal RNA". It matches the Rfam family "Bacterial small subunit ribosomal RNA", at positions 28 to 507 of the family's 1533-position model. The record is from RNAcentral.
GACGAACGCUGGCGGCGUGCCUAAUACAUGCAAGUAGAACGCUGAAGGCGGAGCUUGCUUCUCUGGAUGAGUUGCGAACGGGUGAGUAACGCGUAGGUAACCUGCCUCGUAGCGGGGGAUAACUAUUGGAAACGAUAGCUAAUACCGCAUAACAGUAGAUGUUGCAUGAUAUUUGCUUGAAAGGUGCAUUUGCAACACUACCAGAUGGACCUGCGUCGUAUUAGCUAGUUGGUGAGGUAAAGGCUCACCAAGGCGACGAUACAUAGCAGACAGGAGAGGGGGAGCAGCCACACUGAGAGGGAGACACGGCACAGAGUGCCUCGGGAAGGAGCAGGAGGGAAUCGGGGGCAAGGGACGGGAGACAGAGCGAGAAAGGCGGAGGGAUGGAACAAGGAUGUCGGGUCGGAGAGGUCGGUCGUAAGGUUAGAACGAGCGUGAGGGAGGAAAGAUCACAAUGUGACGGUACCUGAAGAGAAAGCGCCGGCUAACUACGUG